GGCUUAUGGAGGGGGAUAACCAUUGGAAACGGUGGCUAAUACCGCAUGAUGUCGCAAGACCAAAGUGGGGGACCUUAAGGCCUCACGCCAUGAGAUGAACCCAGAUGAGAUUAGCUAGUAGGUGCGGUAAUGGCGUACCUAGGCGACGAUCUCUAGCUGGUCUGAGAGGAUGACCAGCCACACUGGAACUGAGAGACGGUCCAGACUCCUACGGGAGGCAGCAGUGGGGAAUAUUGCACAAUGGGCGGAAGCCUGAUGCAGCCAUGCCGCGUGUGUGAA
Molecule: ribosomal RNA, 279 nt
Filed under: Candidatus Regiella insecticola
Lineage: Bacteria; Pseudomonadati; Pseudomonadota; Gammaproteobacteria; Enterobacterales; Enterobacteriaceae
Description: partial 16S ribosomal RNA
Rfam family: Bacterial small subunit ribosomal RNA
Source: RNAcentral